CCUCCUCAUUUUCUAUCAUCUCUCUCGCCCUCCUCGCAUGGAUUCGGGCCUCCGGUCCUUCCUCUUCGCCGGCUUUUCUUCCUCUUUCUUCAGUAUCGCGGCUGCUGGUUUGAAGACGGUCAGGUGCAGGUCGGGGGUCAUUGGUCUGAGGUUCCUCUACAACCGGGAGUGUAUUUACUGGGGUGUUGAGGCCUCUCUGUUGCAUUAUCUGCCCCAACCAGUGGGCGGUAUUCUAUAACUGGAAAGCCAUGUUUUGAAG
This 259-nucleotide long non-coding RNA is filed under the name Manihot esculenta (cassava). RNAcentral's name for it is "long non-coding RNA (MESC_LNC010252)". The record is from RNAcentral. Lineage: Eukaryota; Viridiplantae; Streptophyta; Magnoliopsida; Malpighiales; Euphorbiaceae.